UUUAGUUCCCCAAAGUAAUAAUAUGUGGUUCAGCAAAUACAGACACAAUUCUAGAAGAAUUUCUCUUAUGAGAAUAAGAAACCCUUGGUUGUUUCAUUUGAUUUUUCUUCAUGGUCUUUCAAGUUCAGUUCUUUACAUCUUCUCGGCUGGGCUGUUCUAAUUUCAGAUUUUCUGAUGGAGCUUACUCCAAGUGUUAGUUGAGAACUCCGAUGGAGCUUACUUUAAGUCUCGGUUGGAAACUCUGAUUGUAUGCAUUCACACGGUCAUUUGAUAAUGAAGUAUUUGCAGUUACAUGUUGUCGGAUACACUUCUAGAUUUUGAUUGUUAUCUUCCAGUUUCCUAUUCAAAUAGAGAAAAUCCUCAGAUUGUUCCUGCAGAAUGACCUACCAACUAUCCCAUCAAAAGUUUGUUGCAGUUGAUAUGUCUUUUGGAGGAAGAGAGAAGACAAAUCAAACUCCAGCUAACGCAACAAGAAGUUCUCGGUUGUUCAGAUCUCAAAAAGACGCGAGCUCGGAUGGGAGCUAACAGGUUGAAGGAAUUACAGAGAACUGCUACUUGAACUUCUUUAUAAAGUCUACUUGAUGGUUUUUACAUAGAGCCUGAUUGAAAUUUGUAAGUUAUUAAAUCUUUUUACAUUGUAAUGUAUUCAUGAGGGGAGUUCUCAUCAAAUACUUAGAUAUACUUCGUCUCUUGCCCAAAUUGAACGCCAUUUUUAUUAACUUCCUAAUGUGAACUUUUGAUCUCUCCUUAAA
Nicotiana attenuata is the source of this 752-nucleotide long non-coding RNA. RefSeq lists it as uncharacterized. Lineage: Eukaryota; Viridiplantae; Streptophyta; Magnoliopsida; Solanales; Solanaceae. The transcript is spliced from 5 exons. The record is from RefSeq and is a predicted model, not a curated record.